RNAcentral lists this ribosomal RNA (253 nucleotides) under uncultured bacterium. RNAcentral's name for it is "partial 16S ribosomal RNA". It matches the Rfam family "Bacterial small subunit ribosomal RNA", at positions 524 to 776 of the family's 1533-position model. The record is from RNAcentral.
UACAGAGGGGGCAAGCGUUAUUCGGAAUUAUUGGGCGUAAAGGGCGCGUAGGCGGCUUGGCAAGUGGAAGGUGAAAUCCCUCGGCUUAACCGAGGAACUGCCCUCCAAACUGCUGUGCUUGAGGCCGGGAGAGGUGAGUGGAAUUCCCAGUGUAGCGGUGAAAUGCGUAGAUAUUGGGAGGAACACCAGUGGCGAAGGCGGCUCACUGGACCGGUUCUGACGCUGAGGCGCGAAAGCGUGGGGAGCAAACGGG